RNAcentral lists this long non-coding RNA (1011 nucleotides) under Monodelphis domestica (gray short-tailed opossum). RNAcentral describes it as "lncRNA (ENSMODG00000032975.2)". Lineage: Eukaryota; Metazoa; Chordata; Mammalia; Didelphimorphia; Didelphidae. The record is from RNAcentral.
GCCUUUGGCCCAGCAAUAUUACUACUAGGCAUAUUUCCAAAGAUGUCAAAGACAGAUGAAAAGGACUCAAAUAUGUAGAAGAAUUUGCAUCAGCUCCUUUCAUUGAAGCAGAGUUGGAAACAAAAUAUGUGACAACCAAUUGAAGAAUAGCAAAAACAAAUGGGGAGUAUGAAUGUAAUGGAAUAUUAUUGUGUCAUAAGGAGUGAUGAAUAUGCCUGAGUCAGAGAGACAUGGGAAGACUUGCAUGGACUAGUACUGAAUGAAAUGAGAAGAAUCAGAUUUACAUGAAGAUCACAAUAAUACAGAGAGAAAUAACGUUGAGAGAGGACAGAACUCAGAUCCAUUACUAGUCAGUGUCUAAUCAUAACUUCUGAUGGCUGAUGAUGAAACUUGCUACCUACUCUUGGCAGGAAAAUGCCUACAAAAGUGAAAAUGGAAAUCAUGCCACUGGCCAUCUACCGACCUCACCCGGGAUGAGAGAUUAAUGAGAUCAUGUCUGUAAAAGUUCUUGAAGCCCUGGGGAGAAAAGGGCUAUUAAAAUACAAAGUGUUAUUAGGAUCUUACAAGUGGUGCUUGGCACUAUCUUGUUUGUCUGUGUGCCCCAGGCUUCUACCCAUCUGGUUUGGAGAAAAGCUGUCAUUACCUGCCACCUCCCAGACACUGGCUGAAGGCUGAGGGGCCAUUUUCGAGACAAGACCGGGAGAAAUCAGGACAACCUUCUCGGGUAUCUCCCAUUGUCUAUGAUCUUUCAGAGAUCACUGACAGUAAUCACAUCUGCCAGGUAUUUCAAUUCCCUGGGAUGUAGUUCAUCUGGGUCUGAUGACUUAAACCUGAUGAGGUAGGUGCUUUCUUAUUAUCUUCCUGCCUAUCUUAAGUAUCAUCUCCCCAUUAGCCAUUUUUGUCAAGAUUCUUCUCCUUGUCAGAGAAAACAGAUUCUAAAAAGAUCCACUGUACCUGGCAUCAGAGGGCAGAACCAAGAGUAAUGAAUAGCUGAUUGUUGCAAAGAGGCAG